This 459-nucleotide ribosomal RNA is filed under the name uncultured bacterium. RNAcentral's name for it is "partial 16S ribosomal RNA". It matches the Rfam family "Bacterial small subunit ribosomal RNA", at positions 338 to 795 of the family's 1533-position model. The record is from RNAcentral.
CCUACGGGUGGCAGCAGUGAGGAAUAUUGGUCAAUGGGCGGGAGCCUGAACCAGCCAAGCCGCGUGAGGGAUGAAGGUUCUGCGUAUCGUAAACCUCUUUUGUCAGGGAACAAAGUCGGGGACUAGUCCCCGGAUGAGGGUACCUGAAGAAAAAGCAUCGGCUAACUCCGUGCCAGCAGCCGCGGUAAUACGGAGGAUGCGAGCGUUAUCCGGAUUUAUUGGGUUUAAGGGGUGCGCAGGCGGCCUGUUAAGUCAGCGGGAAAAGGCCGGGGCUCAACCCCGGCGUGUCGUUGAAACUGGGGGGCUGGAGUUGGAGUGAAGUACGCGGAAUGCGCGGUGUAGCGGUGAAAUGCUUAGAUAGCGCGCAGAACCCCGAUUGCGAAGGCAGCGUGCCGGCUCCACACUGACGCUGAGGCACGAAAGCGUGGGUAUCGAACAGGAUUAGAUACCCCGGUAGUC